CCUACGGGCGGCAGCAGUAGGGAAUCUUCGGCAAUGGACGAAAGUCUGACCGAGCAACGCCGCGUGAGUGAAGAAGGUUUUCGGAUCGUAAAACUCUGUUGUUAGAGAAGAACAAGGACGUUAGUAACUGAACGUCCCCUGACGGUAUCUAACCAGAAAGCCACGGCUAACUACGUGCCAGCAGCCGCGGUAAUACGUAGGUGGCAAGCGUUGUCCGGAUUUAUUGGGCGUAAAGCGAGCGCAGGCGGUUUCUUAAGUCUGAUGUGAAAGCCCCCGGCUCAACCGGGGAGGGUCAUUGGAAACUGGGAGACUUGAGUACAGAAGAGGAGAGUGGAAUUCCAUGUGUAGCGGUGAAAUGCGUAGAUAUAUGGAGGAACACCGGUGGCGAAAGCGGCUCUCUGGCCUGUAACUGACACUGAGGCUCGAAAGCGUGGGGAGCAAACAGGAUUAGAUACCCGUGUAGUC
RNAcentral lists this ribosomal RNA (465 nucleotides) under uncultured bacterium. Its description in RNAcentral is "bacterial SSU rRNA". It matches the Rfam family "Bacterial small subunit ribosomal RNA", at positions 338 to 795 of the family's 1533-position model. The record is from RNAcentral.